This is a long non-coding RNA of Engraulis encrasicolus (European anchovy), 1769 nucleotides long. RefSeq lists it as uncharacterized. The record is from RefSeq and is a predicted model, not a curated record. NCBI's taxonomy places the organism in Eukaryota, Metazoa, Chordata, Actinopteri, Clupeiformes, Engraulidae. The transcript is spliced from 3 exons.
AAUGAUUAAUUUGUGAUUAUUUUUCUUGGAACAAAAUGUACCGUAGAACAAUUACAUUCUGAACUGAAGAGUAACCAAUAUUGACACUUUCUAGCAAUGAACAUUGUCAACAUUUGGCAUGGAAUGGAAACAGGUUUUGAGCCAGCAUCCCAUAUACUCUACCAACGAAAAUUCUUUUGGCCCAAACAAAACGAUCUGCAGAUGCCACAUAGACUACAGCUAAUAUUAGUUAUUAGUUAGUGAGAAAACUGCUGUAUAUAUUCUAAACAACAAUAACAAAUAUCAGUUGCAGAAUUAGAGACACAGGGGAAAAAAUAUGCUUACAUGUACUGUACACCUCAGACGAUCAGGUUCAACAUGACAUUGAUAAAUGUCUGCACAUUUGUGGUCUUAGUGUCAAUGCAUGAAUCAUCCAGCAAUUAUGUAUUUCUUUUCCAGGGAGAAAAGAAGACCCUGUUAAAAAUGCUCCAGGAAGAGAUGAACUUUCAUAGAAGGUUUAAAGUGGUCUUUGAUAGGUCAGCAGACCACCUUGAGGUGUUGGACACAGAGGAAGAGAUCACGGAGGAAUUUGAGAAGCUUCGUCAGUUUCUAAGAGAUGAAGAGGCAGCCUGGAGAGCUGCCCAGGAGGAGGAAGAGGAGCAGCAGACUCGAAAGAGGAAGAGGGCAUCUGGCAACACUGAACGACAGUGUUCAUCUCGUCCAAGUGCUAUAGCAGUCAGAUGAAGCAGCAUGGCACGUGACAUCCCUGACUCUGAUGAAGACAUGGCAAUUCGUCCUUGGCACGUAAUGACUUAAUGAAGAUUUCCCACUUGAGCUACUACGCAAAUGUAUCUUUUUUUUAUCUUGACUCGGCCUGCAUGCAGCUUUGGUUAUUUACUGUACAUUAUUGUACUGUACAUAUUGUUUCUGUACAUUUUACCAAUGAAUUUGACUGAAGUAUCCUUGGUUUGUAUCUGUUUUAACAGGAUGCAUUUGUUGACCUGUGUGCCUAUUUUACUCAUGCAUUUCUUAAUCCAAAUAAAUAGGUUUGAUAUUAGUGAUUGGAAAUGUGUGUUUUCAGCAGAAUGAGACUUGUACAGUGGGACAGAUAUGAACACACACAGUCACAGACAUAAAUACAUGCAGGCCUACCGUAUACUCUCACGACCACAUCUGGCUUGUGCUGUGUUGGAUCCUCUUUUGUCUUCAGAACUUCCCUCUUGAUUAUACCCCAUAGAUUACCAUAACACGUUUUGGGGCUUUGGUGUUACAGUAUGAGCAUUCUAACUCACCAGACACAACAUCCCAUUCAUUUUCAAAGGGGUUUUAUUUCUGGUGAGUUAGAAUGUCCAUAACACCAAAGCACCAUGAUAAUGGUAAUCUAUGGGGUAUAUUGAAGAGUGAAGUGUGGGUCACCAGAUCUACAAACAAAAACAGCUGACGGCAAGGCAUCAAGGAUAUCUGGGCUUCCAUAACCCAGCCAUUGACUAACCGCAUCAUGGCACUGAUUAAGGCAACUGGUCAAUCUACACAGAAGAGCGGAGGGGGGGGGCUUUAUUUGAGUCAAUUCGGAUGUAAUGAUAGUUGCAUGCAAUUUAAUUUUGUAUUUUUGUGUCACACAUCGUUUGUUUUUUAAAAUUUGAUUAUUGUUAUUUUCUUUACGAUUCACAUGACGUGUAUAUUUUGUUCCGCACGGCUUACGUGGCGAACACCCUGCCUACAUCCUCUGUAAAGAUGCUGAAGAAGGUUUAGUCCGAAACGUUUAAACUAUUAAAUUUAAACUACAAGAA